GGCGGCGAGUGGCGAACGGGUGAGUAAUAUAUCGGAACGUACCCUGGAGUGGGGGAUAACGUAGCGAAAGUUACGCUAAUACCGCAUACGAUCUAAGGAUGAAAGUGGGGGAUUCGCAAGAACCUCAUGCUCCUGGAGCGGCCGAUAUCUGAUUAGCUAGUUGGUGGGGUAAAGGCCUACCAAGGCAUCGAUCAGUAGCUGGUCUGAGAGGACGACCAGCCACACUGGAACUGAGACACGGUCCAGACUCCUACGGGAGGCAGCAGUGGGGAAUUUUGGACAAUGGGCGCAAGCCUGAUCCAGCAAUGCCGCGUGAGUGAAGAAGGCCUUCGGGUUGUAAAGCUCUUUUGUCAGGGAAGAAACGGUGAGGGCUAAUAUCCUUUGCUAAUGACGGUACCUGAAGAAUAAGCACCGGCUAACUACGUGCCAGCAGCCGCGGUAAUACGUAGGGUGCAAGCGUUAAUCGGAAUUACUGGGCGUAAAGCGUGCGCAGGCGGUUUUGUAAGUCUGUCGUGAAAUCCCCGGGCUCAACCUGGGAAUUGCGAUGGAGACUGCAAGGCUAGAAUCUGGCAGAGGGGGGUAGAAUUCCACGUGUAGCAGUGAAAUGCGUAGAGAUGUGGAGGAACACCGAUGGCGAAGGCAGCCCCCUGGGUCAAGAUUGACGCUCAUGCACGAAAGCGUGGGGAGCAAACAGGAUUAGAUACCCUGGUAGUCCACGCCCUAAACGAUGUCUACUAGUUG
This 741-nucleotide ribosomal RNA is filed under the name uncultured bacterium. Its description in RNAcentral is "bacterial SSU rRNA". It matches the Rfam family "Bacterial small subunit ribosomal RNA", at positions 87 to 822 of the family's 1533-position model. The record is from RNAcentral.